AGCUCCAAUAGCGUAUAUUAAAGUUGUUGCAGUUAAAAAGCUCGUAGUUGGAUUUGGGACUGGAGUCGUCGGGUCGGCCGCGAGGUCUGUUACUGGACGGCUCCGUCAUUUCAUCUCUCGGAGACCCGUCGUGCACUUCGCUGUGCGCGGCGCGGGACUCGGGACGUUUACUUUGAAAAAAUUAGAGUGUUCAAAGCAGGCUUUUCAAGCCCGGAUACAUGAGCAUGGAAUAAUGGAAUAGGACAGGUCAAUUUUAUUGGUUAUUUGACUUGUAAUGAUUAAUAGGGUCAGUUGGGGGCGUUUGUAUUCAAUAGUCAGAGGUGAAAUUCUUGGAUUUGUUGAAGACAAACUAAAGCGAAAGCAUUCGCCAAGGAUGUUUUCAUUAAUCAAGAACGAAAGU
RNAcentral lists this ribosomal RNA (400 nucleotides) under phytoplankton environmental sample. RNAcentral describes it as "partial small subunit ribosomal RNA". It matches the Rfam family "Eukaryotic small subunit ribosomal RNA", at positions 587 to 990 of the family's 1831-position model. The record is from RNAcentral.